Molecule: ribosomal RNA, 3027 nt
Filed under: Salmonella enterica subsp. enterica serovar Tennessee str. TXSC_TXSC08-19
Lineage: Bacteria; Pseudomonadati; Pseudomonadota; Gammaproteobacteria; Enterobacterales; Enterobacteriaceae
Description: bacterial LSU rRNA
Rfam family: Bacterial large subunit ribosomal RNA
Source: RNAcentral
GGGUUGUGAGGUUAAGCGACUAAGCGUACACGGUGGAUGCCCUGGCAGUCAGAGGCGAUGAAGGACGUGCUAAUCUGCGAUAAGCGCCGGUAAGGUGAUAUGAACCGUUAUAACCGGCGAUUUCCGAAUGGGGAAACCCAGUGUGAUUCGUCACACUAUCAUUAACUGAAUCCAUAGGUUAAUGAGGCGAACCGGGGGAACUGAAACAUCUAAGUACCCCGAGGAAAAGAAAUCAACCGAGAUUCCCCCAGUAGCGGCGAGCGAACGGGGAGGAGCCCAGAGCCUGAAUCAGCAUGUGUGUUAGUGGAAGCGUCUGGAAAGGCGCGCGAUACAGGGUGACAGCCCCGUACACAAAAGCGCAUGUGCUGUGAGCUCGAUGAGUAGGGCGGGACACGUGGUAUCCUGUCUGAAUAUGGGGGGACCAUCCUCCAAGGCUAAAUACUCCUGACUGACCGAUAGUGAACCAGUACCGUGAGGGAAAGGCGAAAAGAACCCCGGCGAGGGGAGUGAAAAAGAACCUGAAACCGUGUACGUACAAGCAGUGGGAGCCCCACCACUAAGCCAGUGGUGAACUCCACAUACGCAUCCUUUGCUGAGGAUACGGUUAACGGAGCGAAAGCGACGUUCAACCGCAAAAGAAGCAGAGGGGGCUUAGUGGUGGGGUGACUGCGUACCUUUUGUAUAAUGGGUCAGCGACUUAUAUUCUGUAGCAAGGUUAACCGAAUAGGGGAGCCGGAGGGAAACCGAGUCUUAACCGGGCGUUAAGUUGCAGGGUAUAGACCCGAAACCCGGUGAUCUAGCCAUGGGCAGGUUGAAGGUUGGGUAACACUAACUGGAGGACCGAACCGACUAAUGUUGAAAAAUUAGCGGAUGACCUGUGGCUGGGGGUGAAAGGCCAAUCAAACCGGGAGAUAGCUGGUUCUCCCCGAAAGCUAUUUAGGUAGCGCCUCGUGAAUUCAUCUCCGGGGGUAGAGCACUGUUUCGGCUAGGGGGCCAUCCCGGCUUACCAACCCGAUGCAAACUGCGAAUACCGGAGAAUGUUAUCACGGGAGACACACGGCGGGUGCUAACGUCCGUCGUGAAGAGGGAAACAACCCAGACCGCCAGCUAAGGUCCCAAAGUCAUGGUUAAGUGGGAAACGAUGUGGGAAGGCCCAGACAGCCAGGAUGUUGGCUUAGAAGCAGCCAUCAUUUAAAGAAAGCGUAAUAGCUCACUGGUCGAGUCGGCCUGCGCGGAAGAUGUAACGGGGCUAAACCAUGCACCGAAGCUGCGGCAGCGACACUGUGUGUUGUUGGGUAGGGGAGCGUUCUGUAAGCCUGUGAAGGUGGCCUGUGAGGGUUGCUGGAGGUAUCAGAAGUGCGAAUGCUGACAUAAGUAACGAUAAAGCGGGUGAAAAGCCCGCUCGCCGGAAGACCAAGGGUUCCUGUCCAACGUUAAUCGGGGCAGGGUGAGUCGACCCCUAAGGCGAGGCCGAAAGGCGUAGUCGAUGGGAAACGGGUUAAUAUUCCCGUACUUGGUGUUACUGCGAAGGGGGGACGGAGAAGGCUAUGUUGGCCGGGCGACGGUUGUCCCGGUUUAAGCGUGUAGGUGUGUGUUCCAGGUAAAUCCGGUUCACUUUAACACUGAGGCGUGACGACGAGGCACUACGGUGCUGAAGCAACAAAUGCCCUGCUUCCAGGAAAAGCCUCUAAGCAUCAGGUAACAUCAAAUCGUACCCCAAACCGACACAGGUGGUCAGGUAGAGAAUACCAAGGCGCUUGAGAGAACUCGGGUGAAGGAACUAGGCAAAAUGGUGCCGUAACUUCGGGAGAAGGCACGCUGACACGUAGGUGAAGUGAUUUACUCAUGGAGCUGAAGUCAGUCGAAGAUACCAGCUGGCUGCAACUGUUUAUUAAAAACACAGCACUGUGCAAACACGAAAGUGGACGUAUACGGUGUGACGCCUGCCCGGUGCCGGAAGGUUAAUUGAUGGGGUCAGCGCAAGCGAAGCUCCUGAUCGAAGCCCCGGUAAACGGCGGCCGUAACUAUAACGGUCCUAAGGUAGCGAAAUUCCUUGUCGGGUAAGUUCCGACCUGCACGAAUGGCGUAAUGAUGGCCAGGCUGUCUCCACCCGAGACUCAGUGAAAUUGAACUCGCUGUGAAGAUGCAGUGUACCCGCGGCAAGACGGAAAGACCCCGUGAACCUUUACUAUAGCUUGACACUGAACAUUGAGCCUUGAUGUGUAGGAUAGGUGGGAGGCUUUGAAGUGUGGACGCCAGUCUGCAUGGAGCCGACCUUGAAAUACCACCCUUUAAUGUUUGAUGUUCUAACGUGGACCCGUUACCCGGGUUGCGGACAGUGUCUGGUGGGUAGUUUGACUGGGGCGGUCUCCUCCUAAAGAGUAACGGAGGAGCACGAAGGUUGGCUAAUCCUGGUCGGACAUCAGGAGGUUAGUGCAAUGGCAUAAGCCAGCUUGACUGCGAGCGUGACGGCGCGAGCAGGUGCGAAAGCAGGUCAUAGUGAUCCGGUGGUUCUGAAUGGAAGGGCCAUCGCUCAACGGAUAAAAGGUACUCCGGGGAUAACAGGCUGAUACCGCCCAAGAGUUCAUAUCGACGGCGGUGUUUGGCACCUCGAUGUCGGCUCAUCACAUCCUGGGGCUGAAGUAGGUCCCAAGGGUAUGGCUGUUCGCCAUUUAAAGUGGUACGCGAGCUGGGUUUAGAACGUCGUGAGACAGUUCGGUCCCUAUCUGCCGUGGGCGCUGGAGAAUUGAGGGGGGCUGCUCCUAGUACGAGAGGACCGGAGUGGACGCAUCACUGGUGUUCGGGUUGUCAUGCCAAUGGCACUGCCCGGUAGCUAAAUGCGGAAGAGAUAAGUGCUGAAAGCAUCUAAGCACGAAACUUGCCCCGAGAUGAGUUCUCCCUGAGACUUUAAGUCUCCUGAAGGAACGUUGAAGACGACGACGUUGAUAGGCCGGGUGUGUAAGCGCAGCGAUGCGUUGAGCUAACCGGUACUAAUGAACCGUGAGGCUUAACCUUACAACGCCGAAG